Molecule: long non-coding RNA, 482 nt
Organism: Gossypium arboreum
Lineage: Eukaryota; Viridiplantae; Streptophyta; Magnoliopsida; Malvales; Malvaceae
Exons: 3
Source: RefSeq, a predicted model, not a curated record
CAAUUAUUUCCCCAAAUUGAAACCUAGGUUGAAAUCAACGAUUUGCAUAAGCUCACUCGCUUCAGAUUGUUCAUCCUGAUUAAAGGUAAGCAAUCUGGAAGUUUACGAUUUCUUCUAGUUGAUAUCCAAACAUUUUAACAUUUAAAGAUGCAUAUUGCAGGCGUAAAAAAUGAUUAUUUGCAGGUAUUUUAUCAAGGUCGGAUAUCAAGUUAUCGUUUUGUAUUGGAGUGGAUAUUUGCAUUGAUUCUGCAACUUAUGUGCGUGUAAGGGAACCUACUAGUCGUAUUUUAGGUCUCUUCCUGAGGAUAUUUUGCUGGAAUGCUUUGAGCUCAUUGAUGAUUUCAAUUUUCAAGGUUUGUGGAUUAUCUUUCUCUAUGUUUUAUACUUUGACAUUGGUCAUGACUCAAAUGCAUUAAAUUGGCUUUGGAUAGGUUAUUUUGUAUGGUAUGAGUUAUUGAAUUGCUUCAUUAAAGAAUUCUAUA